CCCUUGCCGGGAGGGAGCCGCAAGGCGCAGCCCGGACGUGGAUUGGUCGGUGAGUGCCACGCAUUGAAAAACCCCGACAGCC
This 82-nucleotide small RNA is filed under the name Lampropedia cohaerens. Its description in RNAcentral is "Proteo-phage-1 RNA". It matches the Rfam family "Proteo-phage-1 RNA". Lineage: Bacteria; Pseudomonadati; Pseudomonadota; Betaproteobacteria; Burkholderiales; Comamonadaceae. The record is from Rfam by way of RNAcentral.